This 414-nucleotide unclassified non-coding RNA is filed under the name soil metagenome. Its description in RNAcentral is "partial contains 5.8S ribosomal RNA, internal transcribed spacer 2, and large subunit ribosomal RNA". The stretch from base 2 to 121 matches the Rfam family "5.8S ribosomal RNA", at positions 35 to 154 of the family's 154-position model. The record is from RNAcentral.
GGAUGAAGAACGCAGCGAAAUGCGAUAAGUAAUGUGAAUUGCAGAAUUCAGUGAAUCAUCGAAUCUUUGAACGCACCUUGCGCUCCUUGGUAUUCCUCGGAGCAUGCCUGUUUGAGUAUCAUGAAAUUCUCAAAACAAAUCUUUUGUUAAGUCAAUUGGUUUGCUUUGGAUUUGGAGGUUUUUUUUUGCAGAUUUACUUCUGCUCCUCUUAAAAAUAUUAGCUGGAUCUCAGUAUAUGCUCGGUUCCACUCGGCGUGAUAAGUUAUCACUCGCUGAGGACACUGUAACAGGUGGCCGGGAAAUGCAGAUGAACCGCUUCUAAUGGUCUAUUUAUUUAGACAAAUUUAUUUCAAGAUCUGAUCUCAAAUCAGGUAGGACUACCCGCUGAACUUAAGCAUAUCAAUAAGCGGAGGA